Molecule: ribosomal RNA, 492 nt
Filed under: uncultured bacterium
Lineage: Bacteria
Description: partial 16S ribosomal RNA
Rfam family: Bacterial small subunit ribosomal RNA
Source: RNAcentral
AGUGAACGCUGGCGGUAGGCCUAACACAUGCAAGUCGAACGGCAGCACAGUAAGAGCUUGCUCUUACGGGUGGCGAGUGGCGGACGGGUGAGGAAUACAUCGGAAUCUACUUUUUCGUGGGGGAUAACGUAGGGAAACUUACGCUAAUACCGCAUACGACCUACGGGUGAAAGCAGGGGAUCUUCGGACCUUGCACGAUUGAAUGAGCCGAUGUCGGAUUAGCUAGUUGGCGGGGUAAAGGCCCACCAAGGCGACGAUCCGUAGCUGGUCUGAGAGGAUGAUCAGCCACACUGGAACUGAGGCACGGUCCAGACUCCUACGGGAGGCAGCAGUGGGGAAUAUUGGACAAUGGGCGCAAGCCUGAUCCAGCCAUACCGCGUGGGUGAAGAAGGCCUUCGGGUUGUAAAGCCCUUUUGUUGGGAAAGAAAAGCAGCAGGUUAAUACCCCGCUGUUCUGACGGUACCCAAAGAAUAAGCACCGGCUAACUUCGUG